RNAcentral lists this ribosomal RNA (508 nucleotides) under uncultured bacterium. RNAcentral's name for it is "partial 16S ribosomal RNA". It matches the Rfam family "Bacterial small subunit ribosomal RNA", at positions 28 to 523 of the family's 1533-position model. The record is from RNAcentral.
GAUGAACGCUAGCUACAGACUUAACACAUGCAAGUCGAAGGGAAACGAUAUUGGAAGCUUGCUUCCGAUAGGCGUCGACCGGCGCACGGGUGAGUAACGCGUAUCCAACCUGCCCAUCACUUGGGGAUAACCUUGCGAAAGUAAGACUAAUACCCAAUGAUAUCUCUAGAAGACAUCUGAAAGGGAUUAAAGAUUUAUCGGUGAUGGAUGGGGAUGCGUCUGAUUAGCUUGUUGGCGGGGUAACGGCCCACCAAGGCGACGAUCAGUAGGGGUUCUGAGAGGAAGGUCCCCCACAUUGGAACUGAGACACGGUCCAAACUCCUACGGGAGGCUGCAGUGAGGAAUAUUGGUCAAUGGGCGAGAGCCUGAACCAGCCAAGUAGCGUGCAGGAUGACGGCCCUAUGGGUUGUAAACUGCUUUUAUAAGGGAAUAAAGUGGGAGUCGUGACUCCUUUUGCAUGUACCUUAUGAAUAAGGACCGGCUAAUUCCGUGCCAGCCGCCGCGGUAA